Molecule: ribosomal RNA, 253 nt
Filed under: uncultured bacterium
Lineage: Bacteria
Description: partial 16S ribosomal RNA
Rfam family: Bacterial small subunit ribosomal RNA
Source: RNAcentral
UACAGAGGUCUCGAGCGUUGUUCGGAUUCAUUGGGCGUAAAGGGUGCGUAGGUGGCGGGGCAAGUCAGGUGUGAAAUCUCGGGGCUCAACCCCGAAACUGCACUUGAUACUGCUUUGCUAGAGUAUUGGAGAGGAGAUUGGAAUUUACGGUGUAGCAGUGAAAUGCGUAGAUAUCGUAAGGAACACCGGUGGCGAAGGCGGCAUCCUGGACCAAUACUGACGCUAAGGAGCGAAAGCUAGGGGAGCAAACGGG